Molecule: ribosomal RNA, 497 nt
Filed under: uncultured bacterium
Lineage: Bacteria
Description: partial 16S ribosomal RNA
Rfam family: Bacterial small subunit ribosomal RNA
Source: RNAcentral
GUUGAACGCUGGCGGCGUGCCUAAUACAUGCAAGUCGAGCGAACAGACGAUGAUCUUUCUCCUCUUACGUUAGCGUCUGUCGGGUGAGUCACACGUGUAUAACCUUCCUUUUUUUCUUGGAUCACUUCGUGAACCCUCAUCUACUACCCGCUCAUAUUUUGUACCUCUUUGUUCAUUAGUUCUUUUCGUUUUUUCUGUCUCUUAUAGAUUGUUCCGCGCUGGAUUAGCUAGUUGGUAAGGUAACGGCUUACCAAGUCUACGAUGCGUAUCCGACCUGAGAGGGUGAUCAGACACACGGGAACUGAGACACGGACCAGAAUACUACGGGAGGCAGCAGUAGGGAAUAUUGGGAAAUGGGCGAAAGCAUGAAGGAGCAAAGCCGCGUGAGUGAAGAAGGACUUCGGAUCGUAAAAAACUGUUAUUAGGGAAGAAAAAAAGGGGAAGAAAAAAUGGACGUAAUGACGGUAACAAAAGAGAAAGCAACGGCUAACUACGUG